GGGUUUUGGUUGUGGAAAGGCGAAAAAUGUAGGAGAGAUAUUUGAAGCCUUUUUGCUAAGUCUUACAGGAAAUAAUGGCGUAAGAUGCUGCAUCACUGCAAACGCAAGGUGAUUCUCGUUCAAAAAUGGCACAUGCUGGUUAGAAAAUAUCAAGUCAGAAGAGCAAUGACGGAAUAACGGUAGAGGAGUUCAAAGACAGCUCGCUCCUGCUCAAAAAUCACACAAUAAGCCAAGGCAGUUCUAAUCCAAUCUAGAGAGUGGAUCAACUACUUCCGUUCUGCGCUCGGAUUUUUGGUUCCUUCUUCUUCAAAUAUCCAAAUGUUCUGUGCCGAAAUUAAUGGAAAAGGUACUGAAAUAUAGAUCAAACUCCAAAGCAGCUGCCUGAAGCUAUCCUAGCUAUGGUGAAGGUGCCUCCGUGUUUAAAUAUCUGUGGGCACCAAAUCUCCAGCCUGUGAUGUCCCCGAUCAAGAAGUAUAUUUAGAGAAAAUGGAAAAAAGAAGUGGAUCAUAGUCUCAGAUCUCAAUGCCAGCAAAAAAAAGAAAAUGAUUAGGAUAUUGUAGUGAAGUAGUCUGUCAGCUGGUGUUCUUCUCUACAUGCGUGCUUUUUCGGGUUACAUCCCUAUAUAUGUGAUUAAUCUUUUCUGUUUUUGAUUAAUUUUAUGUCAGAUGUUUGAUGUAGCUGGAGUUCAUAGUUUCCCUUCUUGUGGGCUAUUCCUGUCUCUGCCUUUAAGAUAAAUGCAUUAAAAUGUUGCAUAGAUUGAAAACAAUCAGACAGCACCGAAUCCAAUCUUCCUUUUUAUUUUUUUCACAUCUCUGAUUGCAUGA
Non-coding RNA from Phoenix dactylifera (date palm), 824 nucleotides. NCBI's taxonomy places the organism in Eukaryota, Viridiplantae, Streptophyta, Magnoliopsida, Arecales, Arecaceae. The record is from RefSeq and is a predicted model, not a curated record.